Molecule: long non-coding RNA, 725 nt
Filed under: Monodelphis domestica (gray short-tailed opossum)
Lineage: Eukaryota; Metazoa; Chordata; Mammalia; Didelphimorphia; Didelphidae
Description: lncRNA (ENSMODG00000037838.1)
Source: RNAcentral
CCAUUAUUCCCUGAAGGCAGUUAACAAGGGUUUUGUAAAAAAAAAGUCAAGGCUUUUUACUCAUGAUAAUUCUACCAUAAUGGCACAGCUUCUGUUGCUAUGGCAUAGGAAUUCUGAGCUCUCCACUGGUUUCUCCCAAAGGUGGCUCUAGGGUAUGAACUCCAGGCCCUUCUCCCAAAGUACUCUCCAGAAGAAUGGCUACUUCUAUCACCAUGGAGGCUUUGCUGUCAUUGCCAAAAGCAUUUGGACCACUCAGAACUUGCUUUUGAAAAAUUUAUGAGAACCAUCAAAAUGCAUAGGAGGUGCAUCCUUGCAUUGCAGAAUGAAUACAGUUCCGGUGAGCCAGUCCUUCAGAGAUGCUUCUACUCCUUCUGUGGUUCCCAGAGAAAAGGAAGGAGAGAUCAAGCUCUGAGACUUUCUGAAGAGGAUCAUCCUUCCUCACGAAGUCAAGAAGGAAUUAUAUACUGGAUGUUCAUGGCCACUCCUUAAGAAGUUCUCCUGACAAAAUUAAGAUGACAGUAACUUUUUCCUUUCAUUUCCCAGAUUUCUUUAUCAACUUCUAAGACAUAACCAUUGUGUUAUAAAUUACUUUUGCAAUUAUUUACUCAUCUGCUCUUUGUCUUUUCCAUUUAGUUUUUAAAUUUUAAAUUUUAUUUAUAUUUCCAUUUAUUGUUCUUUUUUUGCUUAACAGAUUGAAUUUCUUCUCAAGAAGAAUGACUUUUAUG